UGACAAUGCUAAUAUCGCAGAAGGUUUGGUUAGAGAGUUGAGGUUAAGAUUCAAAGAGAUUCCUUUAAGCUUCGAUAAUGUUAUAGGAAUGCAUUAUUAAGAUUAGGAAUGCAUUAUUAAGAUUGAAAAGUAAAACAAGAUAGACUGGAGUCAGAUAACAAAGGCUUGUGCAGUUCUCAGGAUGUCGUGUAUUAUUGGAAAGAUUCAAACAGAAGCAAUUUGUCGCAUUAAGGUCUCCUCCCCUUAGCAGCUCAAGCAUGACAACCCCAGAGUUGCACCCAUCCCUGUCAUAAAAAAUGUAUAAGCAUGUGGUUUGGAAAAGAUCUCGAUGACCUGGCUACUCCCAAGUCCUAUUAUGCAUACAUAUUAAAAACAGUGAAAGAAAAAACUCAGCUCAUUGAAGGAACACCCUCACUCUGCUUGAAUUCUACUCUAUUAAUAGUUGCAAACAGUCUCUAGUGGGCAGCUUGUGCCAUACUUAUGGAAGUUCACUGAAUGGGGAUGCAUACAUGUCAUAAAGGAUUAAGAAAUACUCUACCAAUCCUGCUGAAUUGAUUGUGAUAGACGAAGGGCAUGUUAGUGCUUUUCUCCUCGUACAUGCUUUCACUUCACUUUUCACCACAUAAAAAAGGAUAUGUACUCGGUUAUGUGAAACUAAUGACAAGAUUAAUAUAUAGAGUUUUUUAGUUUAAUUAAAUUC
Molecule: small RNA, 700 nt
Filed under: Vigna angularis var. angularis
Lineage: Eukaryota; Viridiplantae; Streptophyta; Magnoliopsida; Fabales; Fabaceae
Description: Non-protein coding transcript
Source: RNAcentral